Long non-coding RNA from Juglans regia (Persian walnut), 739 nucleotides. RefSeq lists it as uncharacterized. The transcript has 2 exons. The record is from RefSeq and is a predicted model, not a curated record. NCBI's taxonomy places the organism in Eukaryota, Viridiplantae, Streptophyta, Magnoliopsida, Fagales, Juglandaceae.
GGCCAAGGCCGGUGAUAGCGCUAUGUAGGUCCUCGUCGGCCAGAUGUACUGCAGUGGCUAUGGUGUGUCCAGAGACCCUCAAAAGUAUUCUUGGCUAUUACAAGGCAUUCUAGAAGGAAGUUGAUUAUGUGAAGCAUUUAUGGAAGAACAGGCAAGUGCUGAAGGUUGAAGAUGCUGGUAUUGCAGCUUUAUUUGGGCUGGAAUGUCUUGCAUGGUUUUGUUCUGGGGAGAUUGUGGGAAGGGGAAAUUGUUUUUCUUCAUUUCAUUUUUUUUUCUGCAAUUCUCCUAUAAUCAAUUUUUCAUCUAUCUAGACUUCUAUGAUUUAAUGUUUUGCUUGUUGCAGGAUCCGGUAAGUUAGCGAAAAAGGUUGCCCCACCAGUUGAAAACCGGAACCAAGAGUAAUUGAAUAUAUUGGUGCUUAUGUAGACAUAGAAGGUUAUCUAGUUUACUGCAACACUCAGGUCUUUUAGAUCAAGUGGUUUUCCAUCAGCUUUAUGUGUCUGACCCUGCCAGCAUUACUUCUUUCGCAGUUUUCAUCAAAACCCAGUUCGGGAAACUGGAUAUCUUGGUAUAUAUGAUUCAAAACUGAUUUCUUUAUCUACUUUUUCAUUCUUACUGAACAUCACCAAAUUUGUUAUGUAUCCUUCAUGACAAGGUUGGACAGGUGGUUGAAUUUUUUAUUUCUUGUAGGAACUCGUUGGCUUCUUUUUCUUAGUUAUUAUUGUCAUUAUUAUUAUUA